Molecule: ribosomal RNA, 484 nt
Filed under: uncultured bacterium
Lineage: Bacteria
Description: partial 16S ribosomal RNA
Rfam family: Bacterial small subunit ribosomal RNA
Source: RNAcentral
GAUGAACGCUGGCGGCGUGCUUAACACAUGCAAGUCGAACGGUGAAGCAGGAGCUUGCUCUUGUGGAUCAGUGGCGAACGGGUGAGUAACACGUGAGCAACCUGCCCCUGACUCUGGGAUAAGCGCUGGAAACGGCGUCUAAUACUGGAUAUGUGAUGUGACCGCAUGGUCUGCAUCUGGAAAGAAUUUCGGUUGGGGAUGGGCUCGCGGCCUAUCAGCUUGUUGGUGAGGUAAUGGCUCACCAAGGCGUCGACGGGUAGCCGGCCUGAGAGGGUGACCGGCCAAACGGGGACUGAGACACGGCCCAGAGUCCUACGGGGGGCAGCAGUGGGGAAUAUUGAGCAAUGGGCGGAAGCCUGAUGCAGCAACGCCGCGUGGGGGAUGACGGCCUUCGGGUUGUAAACUUCUUUUAGCAGGGAAGAAGCGAAAGUGACGGUACCUGCAGAAAAAGCACCGGCUAACUACGUGCCAGCCGCCGCAGUAA